This 253-nucleotide ribosomal RNA is filed under the name uncultured bacterium. RNAcentral describes it as "partial 16S ribosomal RNA". It matches the Rfam family "Bacterial small subunit ribosomal RNA", at positions 524 to 776 of the family's 1533-position model. The record is from RNAcentral.
UACGGAGGGGGCUAGCGUUGUUCGGAAUUACUGGGCGUAAAGCGCGCGUAGGCGGACCUGCAAGUCGGGGGUGAAAGCCCGAGGCUCAACCUCGGAACUGCCUUCGAUACUGCGGGUCUCGAGUCCGGGAGAGGUGAGUGGAAUUCCUAGUGUAGAGGUGAAAUUCGUAGAUAUUAGGAAGAACACCAGUGGCGAAGGCGGCUCACUGGCCCGGUACUGACGCUGAGGCGCGAAAGCGUGGGGAGCAAACGGG